UGGGGAAUUGUUCGCAAUGGGCGCAAGCCUGACGACGCAACGCCGCGUGGAGGAUGAAGGUCUUCGGAUUGUAAACUCCUGUUGAUUGGGACGAACAUCCAUCGGGCUAAUACCCCGGAGGACUGACGGUACCGAUUGAGGAAGCCCCGGCUAACUCUGUGCCAGCAGCCGCGGUAAUACAGAGGGACCAAGCGUUGUUCGGAUUUACUGGGCGUAAAGGGAGCGUAGGCGGCGCGUCAAGUCAGCUGUGAAAUCUUAAGGCUUAACCUUAAGCGGUCAGCUGAUACUGUCGUGCUAGAGUACAGAAGGGGCAAUCGGAAUUCUUGGUGUAGCGGUGAAAUGCGUAGAUAUCAAGAGGAACACCUGAGGUGAGGACGGGUUGCUGGGCUGAUACUGACGCUGAGGCUCGAAAGCCAGGGGAGCAA
Molecule: ribosomal RNA, 425 nt
Filed under: uncultured bacterium
Lineage: Bacteria
Description: bacterial SSU rRNA
Rfam family: Bacterial small subunit ribosomal RNA
Source: RNAcentral